Molecule: long non-coding RNA, 862 nt
Filed under: Gallus gallus (chicken)
Lineage: Eukaryota; Metazoa; Chordata; Aves; Galliformes; Phasianidae
Description: long non-coding RNA NONGGAT002504
Source: RNAcentral
CCAAACUCUUCAGUUUGAUGCGCUGCUGGCAGGGUAAGCUUUGCCGUUAUUGGAAGGAAAAGCAGUUGUAAUGGUGAUUCCACUCUGAAACAAAUCUAGAUUCACUUUUCAGAAAACAGAUUUGGUUAGUAGAGAUAUGACAUGCAUCCAUUAAUAAUGAAUUGCAGGUAAAUCUGAAAGAAAGCAUGGUAUGGAAUCCUUUGUAAUGUAUCUGUUGGUCAUUUGAAGCUGUUUUUGUUUUCAGGAAAUAAUUCACAAAUUAACGGACUUAUUCAGGAAGUUGCAGAUGAUUUCCCACCUCACUUGGAUACUUCUGAAAGGUGGUACCUGCAUGACUGUGAAGAGAUACCUAGGAAUGUGGAUGCCCAAAUUUUUAGCACCUCAGAACAUUCUAAGAUGCUCUGUCUCUUAUAGAGUUACAACUUUCUGCCACAAGUCCCACUUCUUUGUUUAUUCAUCAAAAUCAGGAAUGACUGUUGAUGAAGGACGACUUGCUGGCAUUAAGAAUUCCAGUAUAUUGUUCAUGUAAAAUAGCUGCAACUGCAGCCAAGAUUCUAUCAACUGGGUGAUUGUACCAGUUUCUCAUGUCACCUAAUUCCAUGCAUGUAAUUGCCGUUUCUGUAGCAUGUAGUUACCAUUUUUUACAAGUCUCAUAUAUUUUCAUAAGAGCACUCAGCUAUUAAAUCCUUAGAUCUGGUCUUUGGCUGCUGCACAGUGAGUUUAUUGGUUCAACCAGGUCUUUCUGGCUGCUCUGAACAUCUCUGUGAACACUUAAUACAGGACUCAGCCCAGUUUGGUCCCAGCAUUGUUCCUUCAAGCUUUAGGCUACAGUGUGGCAUUCAGAAAUUUGAAGUAUCAUUUC